RNAcentral lists this ribosomal RNA (207 nucleotides) under Escherichia coli. RNAcentral describes it as "partial 16S ribosomal RNA". It matches the Rfam family "Bacterial small subunit ribosomal RNA", at positions 1 to 215 of the family's 1533-position model. Lineage: Bacteria; Pseudomonadati; Pseudomonadota; Gammaproteobacteria; Enterobacterales; Enterobacteriaceae. The record is from RNAcentral.
AAAUUGAAGAGUUUGAUCAUGGCUCAGAUUGAACGCUGGCGGCAGGCCUAACACAUGCAAGUCGAACGGUAACAGGAAGCAGCUUGCUGCUUCGCUGACGAGUGGCGGACGGGUGAGUAAUGUCUGGGAAACCGCCUGAUGGAGGGGGAUAACUACUGGAAACGGUAGCUAAUACCGCAUAAUGUCGCAAGACCAAAGAGGGGGACC